UCGUUAACGAACGAGACCUCGACCUGCUAAAUAGUUUGAAUAAUUCUUUUGAAUUUUUCUUUUUAAAACUUCUUAGAGGGACUAUCGGUGUGUAGCCGAUGGAAGUUCGAGGCAAUAACAGGUCUGUGAUGCCCUUAGAUGUUCUGGGCCGCACGCGCGCUACACUGGCAGGUUCAUCGAGCUUACAACCUUGACCGAUAGGUCUGGGCAAUCUUCUCAACGCCUGCCGUGCUGGGGAUAGAUUAUUGUAAUUAUUAAUCUUCAACGAGGAAUUCCUAGUAAACGCAAGUCAUCAACUUGCAUUGAUUACGUCCCUGCCCUUUGUACACACCGCCCGUCGCUAAUACCGAUUGAAUGGAUG
This 361-nucleotide ribosomal RNA is filed under the name Eukaryota sp. Its description in RNAcentral is "SSU rRNA". It matches the Rfam family "Eukaryotic small subunit ribosomal RNA", at positions 1325 to 1699 of the family's 1831-position model. The record is from RNAcentral.